RNAcentral lists this transfer RNA (75 nucleotides) under archaeon. RNAcentral's name for it is "tRNA-Ile". It matches the Rfam family "tRNA". Rfam says of the family: Transfer RNA (tRNA) molecules are approximately 80 nucleotides in length. The record is from RNAcentral. RNAcentral also lists the same sequence under 1 other name.
GAUCGCGUAGCUCAGCCUGGUUAGAGCGCCGCUCUGAUAAGGCGGAGGUCCUGGGUUCAAAUCCCAGCGUGAUCA